GAGUGUGAUCCUGGCUCAGGAUGAACGCUAGCGACACGCUUAACACAUGCAAGUCGAGGGGCAGCGGGUACAUGAGCUUGCUCAUUUAUGCCGGCCACCGGCGCACGGGUGAGUAACACGUCUGCUACCUGUCCGUCUCACGGGGAUAAUCGUCGGAAACGGUGUCUAAUACCCCGUAUGAAGCCCGACGGCAUCGUGUGGUUUUGAAAGAAUAUCCGACACCGAUGGGCAUGCGGCGCAUUAGCUGGUUGGCGGGGUAACGGUCCACCAAGGCGACUAUGCGUAGGGGUUCUGAGAGGAAGGUCCCCCACACUGGUACUGAGACACGGACCAGACUCCUACGGGAGGCAGCAGUGAGGAAUAUUGGUCAAUGGGCGAGAGCCUGAACCAGCCAAGUCGAGUGAGGGAGUACUGCCCUAUUGGUUGUAAACCUCUUUUGUCGGGGAGCAAAAGCCGGACGUGUCCGUCUGUGAGAGUACCCGAAGAAAAAGCUUCGGCUAAUUCCGUGCCAGCAGCCGCGGUAAUACGGAGGAUGCGAGCGUUAUCCGGAUUUAUUGGGUUUAAAGGGUGCGCAGGCGGAUUUUUAAGUCAGCGGUCAAAUCGUGGGGUUCAACCCCAUCCAGCCGUUGAAACUGGGGAUUUAGAGUGUGCGAGAGGUAUGCGGAAUGCGUGGUGUAGCGGUGAAAUGCAUAGAUAUCACGCAGAACCCCGAUUGCGAAGCAGCAUACCGGUGCACAACUGACGCUCAGGCACGAAAGCGUGGGUAUCGAACAGGAUUAGAUACCCUGGUAGUCCACGCAGUAAACGAUGA
This 811-nucleotide ribosomal RNA is filed under the name uncultured bacterium. Its description in RNAcentral is "bacterial SSU rRNA". It matches the Rfam family "Bacterial small subunit ribosomal RNA", at positions 9 to 812 of the family's 1533-position model. The record is from RNAcentral.